Molecule: ribosomal RNA, 422 nt
Filed under: uncultured bacterium
Lineage: Bacteria
Description: partial 16S ribosomal RNA
Rfam family: Bacterial small subunit ribosomal RNA
Source: RNAcentral
AUUUUGGACAAUGGGGGAAACCCUGAGCCAGCCAUCCCGCGUGUAUGAUGAAGGCCUCCGGGUUGUAAAGUACUCUUGGCAGAGAAGAAAAGGUACCUCGUAAUACGAGGUACUGCUGACGGUAUCUGCAGACUAAGCACCGGCUAUCUCCGUGCCCGCAGCCGCGGUAAAACGUAGGGUGCAAGCGUUAACCGUAAUUACGGGGCGUAAAGCGUGUGUAGGCGGUUCGGAAAGAAGAAUGUGAAAUCCCAGGGCUCAACCUUGGAACUGCAUUUUUAACUGCCGGGCUAGAGUAUGUCAGAGGGGGGUAGAAUUCCACGUGUAGCAGUGAAAUGCGUAGAUAUGUGGAGGAAUACCGAUGGCGAAGGCAGCCCCCUGGGAUAAUACUGACGCUCAGACACGAAAGCGUGGGGAGCAAACAG